RNAcentral lists this transfer RNA (72 nucleotides) under Neotoma lepida (desert woodrat). It matches the Rfam family "tRNA". Rfam says of the family: Transfer RNA (tRNA) molecules are approximately 80 nucleotides in length. Their secondary structure includes four short double-helical elements and three loops (D, anti-codon, and T loops). Lineage: Eukaryota; Metazoa; Chordata; Mammalia; Rodentia; Cricetidae. The record is from Rfam by way of RNAcentral.
GGGAGCAUAGCUAAAGAGUAGAGCAUUUGACUACGGAUCAAGAGGUCCCUGGUUCAAAUCCAGGUGCGCCUC